This 460-nucleotide ribosomal RNA is filed under the name uncultured bacterium. RNAcentral's name for it is "partial 16S ribosomal RNA". It matches the Rfam family "Bacterial small subunit ribosomal RNA", at positions 338 to 795 of the family's 1533-position model. The record is from RNAcentral.
CCUACGGGGGGCAGCAGUGAGGAAUAUUGGUCAAUGGACGAGAGUCUGAACCAGCCAAGUCGCGUGAAGGAUGACUGCCCUAUGGGUUGUAAACUUCUUUUAUAUGGGAAUAAAAUGUUCCACGUGUGGGAUUUUGUAUGUACCAUAUGAAGAAGGAUCGGCUAACUUCGUGCCAACAGCCGCGGUAAUACGGAGGAUCCAAGCGUUAACCGGAUUUAUUGGGUGUAAAGGUAGCGUAGGUGGAUUGUUAAGUCAGUUGUGAAAGUUUGCGGCUCAACCGUAAAAUUGCAGUUGAAACUGGCAGUCUUGAGUACAGGAGAGGUGGUCGGAAUUCGUGGUGUAGCGGUGAAAUGCUUAGAUAUAACGAAGAACGCCGAUGGCGAAGGCAGUUGACUGGACUGCAACUGACACUGAGGCUCGAAAGUGUGGGUAUCAAACAGGAUUAUAUACCCUAGUAGUC